Molecule: long non-coding RNA, 1349 nt
Filed under: Gallus gallus (chicken)
Lineage: Eukaryota; Metazoa; Chordata; Aves; Galliformes; Phasianidae
Source: RNAcentral
CCGGCAGUGGAAGCAAAAACAUCUGUGUACUCGAGUCCUCCUGAAGAGAAUCCUUGUCUUGGCCUGAGUAGAGAGAGCACUUGCAGAACUGGUAGCUGUUUCCUGUUGAUUGUGCUUCGUGAAAUCAGUUCCUAUACAUCUUCAACUGUGCGCUGUCUUUAUCUUGAACUGAAGCAAACAGGAAAGUUUCCCAUUAGAAUGCAACUCCGAUGGACUGGAUAGCUGUGUGCCCACCCUUGAAGCUGUAAGCAUCCUGGACACCCAUUCCAGAAGGAUGUUUUUGUCAGAUGGAGAUUCCACUUUAGGAAAAUAUUAAAACAAAGAUUUCAAAGGGGCUUCAGAAAAUGCUUAAAGGCCGUAGACCAAAUGCUGUUUUGCUGUCUGAAGAGAUCUCAGCAAAGGGGCAGUAGUUAAAGAGGAACGAUUACAUUGUAAAAAGCCAUAAAACCUUCCAGGAUUCAGAGUCUCAGGGGAAAGCAGAAAGGAACCCAAGACGAAGUCACACAUUGUGGAUCCAUAGAGCCCGACAUCACUAGACUGUGUUGCCAAGAUGGCAUGGCUCAGGCAUCACUACUGGAAGUGCUGGCACUUACCUCUGGGAAAUCAGUGGGACUCACUGUGGAGCAAAGCAUUGUCAGCAAGUGCUGCUUCACAGAUCUGCCUGUUUGAGUUAUAGAAGGAUGCCAGGACCACGCUGUCCUUCAUUACGUGAUGGAGACUCGGUUGCUCUUACAGAAACUCUGAAUCCUGCUGGCUGCUGUAAAGAAAUGAGAAGGAAGUUUCAGUCUUCCAGUUGGAGAGGAGUGACACAGAUGUUUAAGACGCAAGCAGCUUAGAUGUAACACAUUGUAAUAAAGUGUUGCCGUGCUAGGCAAAUGUAUGAGAAUGAUGAAUUCAGUAGUACGCGAGAAGAGGUCAGAUGCUGCAUUGAGUAUCUUCCGUGAGCGAGGAAAUGCUGAACUUCAGCUCAGUAUAUCACUGCUGAAGCUGUGCCCGGCCAUGGGAGAUGACAAGCAGUUGCUACCAGCCAAGCUUUAAAUUAGGAGAGAAGAACCUUUUUCAUUACAUUCCAAAGAAUUGUGAAAGAUGUGGAAAUCACUGCUUGGAAAACUGUACUUCUACAGGGAGCUGAGUGAAGUCCUACUGAUUCUCACUGCAAUGAAGUACUCAGGACACUUUUUUUGAGCCCACCACUACAGUCAUCACAAAGACAACACUUAGUCCAAGAAGAUUCUAGGCCUUCUUCAGAAGUUUAUCUACACUGUACGAGAAAGCUUCUUCAGACCCAGGCGGUUUCUGCUUUAUUUCAUGAUCAAGUGCUGCCUGCAAACUCUGGAAGUGAAGCCAUG